AACGAACGCUGGCGGCAGGCUUAACACAUGCAAGUCGAACGCUCGUAGCAAUACGGGAGUGGCGGACGGGUGAGUAACGCGUGGGAACGUGCCCUGAGGUACGGAAUAACUGCGGGAAACUGCAGCUAAUACCGUAUGAGCCCCGUGAGGGGGAAAGAUUUAUCGCCUUAGGAGCGGCCCGCGUCGGAUUAGCUAGUUGGUGGGGUAACGGCUUACCAAGGCUUCGAUCCGUAGCUGGUCUGAGAGGACGAUCAGCCACACUGGGACUGAGACACGGCCCAGACUCCUACGGGAGGCAGCAGUGGGGAAUCUUGCGCAAUGGGGGCAACCCUGACGCAGCCAUGCCGCGUGAAUGAUGAAGGCCUUAGGGUUGUAAAGUUCUUUUGCCCGUGACGAUGAUGACGGUAACGGGAGAAUAAGCUCCGGCUAACUUCGUGCCAGCAGCCGCGGUAAACUCGUCUUA
This 463-nucleotide ribosomal RNA is filed under the name uncultured bacterium. Its description in RNAcentral is "bacterial SSU rRNA". It matches the Rfam family "Bacterial small subunit ribosomal RNA", at positions 29 to 532 of the family's 1533-position model. The record is from RNAcentral.